GAUGAAGAACGUAGCGAAAUGCGAUAAGUAAUGUGAAUUGCAGAAUUCAGUGAAUCAUCGAAUCUUUGAACGCACAUUGCGCCCGCCAGUAUUCUGGCGGGCAUGCCUGUCUGAGCGUCAUUUCAACCCUCAUGCCCCUAGGGCGUGAUGUUGGGGAUCGGCCAAAGCCCGCGAGGGACGGCCGGCCCCUAAAUCUAGUGGCGGACCCGUCGUGGCCUCCUCUGCGAAGUAGUGAUAUUCCGCAUCGGAGAGCGACGAGCCCCUGCCGUUAAACCCCCAACUUUCCAAGGUUGACCUCAGAUCAGGUAGGAAUACCCGCUGAACUUAAGCAUAUCAAUAAGCGGAGGA
RNAcentral lists this unclassified non-coding RNA (348 nucleotides) under soil metagenome. RNAcentral describes it as "partial contains 5.8S ribosomal RNA, internal transcribed spacer 2, and large subunit ribosomal RNA". The stretch from base 1 to 120 matches the Rfam family "5.8S ribosomal RNA", at positions 35 to 154 of the family's 154-position model. The record is from RNAcentral.